CGAACGCUGGCGGCGCGUUUAAGCAUGCAAGUCGAGCGGCAAGGGCCUUCGGGCCCUAGAGCGGCGGACGGGUGAGUAACACGUGGACAAUCUGCCCCCCGGCCCGGGAUAGCCCAGGGAAACCUGGAUUAAUACCGGAUGAGACGGGACCCGCGAUGGCGGGAUCCGGGAAAGGCGCUGCGGCGCCGCCGGGGGAUGAGUCUGCGUCCCAUUAGCUAGACGGCGGGGUAACGGCCCACCGUGGCGACGAUGGGUAGCCGGCCUGAGAGGGUGGACGGCCACAUUGGAACUGAGACACGGUCCAGACUCCUACGGGAGGCAGCAGCUAAGAAUCUUCCGCAAUGGGCGAAAGCCUGACGGAGCCGACGCCGCGUGAACGAAGAAGGCCGUGAGGUUGUAAAGUUCUUUUCGGGAGGGGGAACAACCGUGGCAGGGAAUGGCCGCGGGAUGACGUGAAUCCCGGAAUAAGCCCCGGCUAACUACGUGCCAGCCGCCGC
RNAcentral lists this ribosomal RNA (497 nucleotides) under uncultured bacterium. RNAcentral describes it as "bacterial SSU rRNA". It matches the Rfam family "Bacterial small subunit ribosomal RNA", at positions 30 to 518 of the family's 1533-position model. The record is from RNAcentral.